RNAcentral lists this ribosomal RNA (425 nucleotides) under uncultured bacterium. RNAcentral's name for it is "bacterial SSU rRNA". It matches the Rfam family "Bacterial small subunit ribosomal RNA", at positions 355 to 775 of the family's 1533-position model. The record is from RNAcentral.
UCGAGAAUCUUCGGCAAUGGGCGCAAGCCUGACCGAGCGACGCCGCGUGUGGGAUGAAGGCCUUCGGGUUGUAAACCACUGUCAGAGGGGAGGAAAUGUAUGUGGGUACUCCCAUGUACUUGACCUAUCCUCAGAGGAAGUACGGGCUAAGUUCGUGCCAGCAGCCGCGGUAAGACGAACCGUACGAACGUUAUUCGGAAUUACUGGGCUUAAAGGGUGCGUAGGCGGCGCAGUAAGUUGGGUGUGAAAUCCCUCGGCUUAACCGAGGAAUUGCGCCCAAAACUACUGUGCUCGAGGGAGAUAGAGGUGAGCGGAACUUAGGGUGGAGCGGUGAAAUGCGUUGAUAUCCUAAGGAACACCGGUGGCGAAAGCGGCUCACUGGAUCUCUUCUGACGCUGAGGCACGAAAGCUAGGGUAGCAAACGG